Long non-coding RNA from Gossypium raimondii (Peruvian cotton), 596 nucleotides. RefSeq lists it as uncharacterized. NCBI's taxonomy places the organism in Eukaryota, Viridiplantae, Streptophyta, Magnoliopsida, Malvales, Malvaceae. The record is from RefSeq and is a predicted model, not a curated record. The transcript is spliced from 3 exons.
CUACUUUGCUUUUCGUUUCAAAAGUUUUAUAUAUCACUUUUGUUUUUAUUUUUUGGUAGUUUUGGGUCGGGACUCGGGAUUCAGUUCACGGCUUGAUGUUGAUGUCUGUUGAGAGGCUGUUCACUGUUCGGUUCAACAGUGUGGAGUUCCCUUGUUGCUCAAACAAAUUGUGAGAUUCGAAAUGGCUGCUGGACUAGUUAAGAAGUUCUUUAUUGCAUCAACGUUGAUGUGGAUGGCUCCUCUUGCAGUUCACUAAGGUUUUAACCAUAAUUUACUACCCGGUUUAACGAAUUUAUCUCCCCAUGCUAUGACAUUGUUGAGUGGAUUCGUUGCUGUAAUAUCGGUCAAUAUAGUUAUUGCAUUCUACAUUUAUAUGGCAAUGAAGGAACCUUCCAAUAUGCAUCAGCCUGACCCCAAGUUUCUCACCCACGCAAAAGCUAGUGUAUACCAGCCAACAGGUGAACCUAUGGAAUCCCUAAAGAAACAAGAAUAGAAUAGCUGAAGCCCUAGAGAAGUAACCAUAGUGGGGAGAAUGGAACAAUGAGGUUUUGAGUAUUUUGUUGUAUAUUUAGUUUCAUUGCUUUUGAAUCUUUUCA